GGUCCGGUAGAUCAACUGGUUAGAUCGCGUCCCUGUCACGGACGAGGUUGCGGGUUCAAGUCCCGUCCGGACCGCCA
This 77-nucleotide transfer RNA is filed under the name Candidatus Peregrinibacteria bacterium CG11_big_fil_rev_8_21_14_0_20_46_8. Its description in RNAcentral is "tRNA-Asp". It matches the Rfam family "tRNA". Rfam says of the family: Transfer RNA (tRNA) molecules are approximately 80 nucleotides in length. Their secondary structure includes four short double-helical elements and three loops (D, anti-codon, and T loops). Lineage: Bacteria; Candidatus Peregrinibacteriota. The record is from RNAcentral.